This 153-nucleotide microRNA precursor is filed under the name Brassica napus (rape). Its description in RNAcentral is "pre miRNA MIR530". The record is from RNAcentral. Lineage: Eukaryota; Viridiplantae; Streptophyta; Magnoliopsida; Brassicales; Brassicaceae.
ACCCACAUGAGUUCCAAUAUCUUCUUCUCCUCUUUUUUUUCAAAUAUUUCUAAUUUGAAAAACAUUUUGGUGAAAAGCGGGACUCGCUAAUUCCUCAUAGUAUAAAAACUAGAAAAAAAUAGAGGAGAAGAAGAUAUUGGAACUCAUGUGGGC